This is a long non-coding RNA of Juglans microcarpa x Juglans regia, 691 nucleotides long. RefSeq lists it as uncharacterized. The transcript is spliced from 3 exons. NCBI's taxonomy places the organism in Eukaryota, Viridiplantae, Streptophyta, Magnoliopsida, Fagales, Juglandaceae. The record is from RefSeq and is a predicted model, not a curated record.
UUCAUUUUAUGUCAUUUCUUUCCUCGAUUUUUCAUUGGGAUGCCAUCUGCUGUGUUCCUUCUUCCUCUCCAUCCUAUUUUCGGUUCUUCCCCUCUGCAAGUCAGCAAACACCACCACUCAUUCCUCCAUCUUCAGCUGGUCUGUCUGUGAGCGUCCAUUGUUGUGCUUUCUCUUAAAUUUUCCUUACUAAUUUUGUGGCUCAUGCUUGUGAUUUAUUCCCAUUGCAUUCCCUUUUUUUUGGUCUUUCAUUGCUCUGUUUUGCCCUUUUUUCCGUGCCCUGUUUUGCCCAUAAAAGCCAUGAGCUUCACUCGGUUUCUUGGUGAUUUUGGUGCUUGCCAUGAGUGCAUCUUCUAGCCUUCGCUUGUUGCCUCUCGAUUUCCCUUGGAUAUUUUUAUGGUCCAACUGGAGAACAAGAAUAUGAAGUAUUGGAAAAGUCUGAUGAUCAUAGAUGAAUGAGUGCUAAGGGUACAAGUAUUUUGGGAGGAUCAGAUUUAGUAGUUUUAUCUCUUGCGGUUAUUUUGGUACUUCAAGUUGUGAAUAAUUUGAGUCUUUGUGGAGAUGUUAUUUGUUUUAUUGAGGUUUUUGUUUAGUAUUUCUGUGGAAGGACACGGAUUUUUGGAUCAAACAAAUAACUUAAGUAUGUUGUGGAGUUUCCGUUUAUUUAUUAUUGAUUAUUGGAGAUGUUCUUGAG